UGUAAAAAACCCUCCUCUGCAAGGAAAAUAUUUCAUUUAUUUUCCAUUAUACCCCCCGAGGAGAAAACCCUCCUCCCCCUUCCAUUUGAACAGAAGAAGACAAAGGGGUGAUGCACCAGUCUCUUUGGCGACUGACGACUACCGAUAGGAGCAGGAAACCAACCGGAUCAGUUGGUUUGAUGUUUUGAACCAUUUUAUCCCUUUUACUCUUGAUUUGAACUGGUUUUGGGAAGGUUUUUAAUGCCUGGAAAUUUCCUUGCGUUUUUUGUUCCCAUAUCUGUUUUGGGAGUUGUUUGCCAAUGAUCGAAGGUUAGUUUACUCUUGAUUUGAACUGGUUUUGGGAAGGUUUUUAAUGCCUGGAAAUUUCCUUGCGUUUUUUGUUCCCAUAUCUGUUUUGGGAGUUGUUUGCCAAUGAUCGAAGGGCAAUCCGUCAGAUGGAUUCUACUCCUCUCUCGACUUCCUUUGCAUCUACAUCAAGUAAUGGUACUUCUGCAAUAGCUUUUCAUGUGUCCUCUCAUCCCUUCAACUCCCCUUGAAUAAUAAAUUCUAAAGCUUCGAAUCAUAUAACUAGAUUUGGCCUCGGGGAAGAUGAUUGGUAGAGGUCGUAUGGUGGAUAGUCUCUACAUGCUGGAGAAUAAAGCUAAUCUUGUGGUUACUGAGUUCAAGAGUCAAACUAGGGAGAGUAAGGUGGAAGAGAAACAAGUUCGGGUUCUUCCUCAUCUACUUGACCCUCCUCCGUUCCGUGUUUUCCUUCGCCGCCACAAGGGCCAACCGAGUUCAAGAGAUGCAGAGCAACUUGAAGCUAUAUUACCAAUAUCAUCGGAUCACCGAGGAAAAAUCCUAUCCAGACAAAUGAUGGAGAGAGCAUUUUGACAGCAACUUGAGUGUAAUCUUCCAAGUGACCAUGAUAAACAGUUCCAGAUCCUCCUUUGCCAAGGG
Nelumbo nucifera (sacred lotus) is the source of this 939-nucleotide RNA transcript. RefSeq lists it as uncharacterized. The record is from RefSeq and is a predicted model, not a curated record. NCBI's taxonomy places the organism in Eukaryota, Viridiplantae, Streptophyta, Magnoliopsida, Proteales, Nelumbonaceae.